Molecule: ribosomal RNA, 1372 nt
Filed under: Campylobacter coli
Lineage: Bacteria; Pseudomonadati; Campylobacterota; Epsilonproteobacteria; Campylobacterales; Campylobacteraceae
Description: bacterial SSU rRNA
Rfam family: Bacterial small subunit ribosomal RNA
Source: RNAcentral
UGCAGUCGAACGAUGAAGCUUCUAGCUUGCUAGAAGUGGAUUAGUGGCGCACGGGUGAGUAAGGUAUAGUUAAUCUGCCCUACACAAGAGGACAACAGUUGGAAACGACUGCUAAUACUCUAUACUCCUGCUUAACACAAGUUGAGUAGGGAAAGUUUUUCGGUGUAGGAUGAGACUAUAUAGUAUCAGCUAGUUGGUAAGGUAAUGGCUUACCAAGGCUAUGACGCUUAACUGGUCUGAGAGGAUGAUCAGUCACACUGGAACUGAGACACGGUCCAGACUCCUACGGGAGGCAGCAGUAGGGAAUAUUGCGCAAUGGGGGAAACCCUGACGCAGCAACGCCGCGUGGAGGAUGACACUUUUCGGAGCGUAAACUCCUUUUCUUAGGGAAGAAUUCUGACGGUACCUAAGGAAUAAGCACCGGCUAACUCCGUGCCAGCAGCCGCGGUAAUACGGAGGGUGCAAGCGUUACUCGGAAUCACUGGGCGUAAAGGGCGCGUAGGCGGAUUAUCAAGUCUCUUGUGAAAUCUAAUGGCUUAACCAUUAAACUGCUUGGGAAACUGAUAGUCUAGAGUGAGGGAGAGGCAGAUGGAAUUGGUGGUGUAGGGGUAAAAUCCGUAGAUAUCACCAAGAAUACCCAUUGCGAAGGCGAUCUGCUGGAACUCAACUGACGCUAAGGCGCGAAAGCGUGGGGAGCAAACAGGAUUAGAUACCCUGGUAGUCCACGCCCUAAACGAUGUACACUAGUUGUUGGGGUGCUAGUCAUCUCAGUAAUGCAGCUAACGCAUUAAGUGUACCGCCUGGGGAGUACGGUCGCAAGAUUAAAACUCAAAGGAAUAGACGGGGACCCGCACAAGCGGUGGAGCAUGUGGUUUAAUUCGAAGAUACGCGAAGAACCUUACCUGGGCUUGAUAUCCUAAGAACCUUUUAGAGAUAAGAGGGUGCUAGCUUGCUAGAACUUAGAGACAGGUGCUGCACGGCUGUCGUCAGCUCGUGUCGUGAGAUGUUGGGUUAAGUCCCGCAACGAGCGCAACCCACGUAUUUAGUUGCUAACGGUUCGGCCGAGCACUCUAAAUAGACUGCCUUCGUAAGGAGGAGGAAGGUGUGGACGACGUCAAGUCAUCAUGGCCCUUAUGCCCAGGGCGACACACGUGCUACAAUGGCAUAUACAAUGAGACGCAAUACCGCGAGGUGGAGCAAAUCUAUAAAAUAUGUCCCAGUUCGGAUUGUUCUCUGCAACUCGAGAGCAUGAAGCCGGAAUCGCUAGUAAUCGUAGAUCAGCCAUGCUACGGUGAAUACGUUCCCGGGUCUUGUACUCACCGCCCGUCACACCAUGGGAGUUGAUUUCACUCGAAGCCGGAAUACUAAACUA